GACGAACGCUGGCGGCGUGCUUAACACGUGCAAGUCGAACGGAAAGGCCCUGCUUGCAGGGUACUCGAGUGGCGAACGGGUGAGUAACACGUGGGUGAUCUGCCCUGCACUUCGGGAUAAGCCUGGGAAACUGGGUCUAAUACCGGAUAGGAGCCAUUUUUAGUGUGAUGGUUGGAAAGUUUUUUCGGUGUAGGAUGAGCUCGCGGCCUAUCAGCUUGUUGGUGGGGUAAUGGCCUACCAAGGCGGCGACGGGUAGCCGGCCUGAGAGGGUGGACGGCCACAUUGGGACUGAGAUACGGCCCAGACUCCUACGGGAGGCAGCAGUGGGGAAUAUUGCACAAUGGGCGCAAGCCUGAUGCAGCGACGCCGCGUGGGGGAUGACGGCCUUCGGGUUGGAAACUCCUUUCGCUAGGGACGAAGCUUUUUGCGACGGUACCUAGAUAAGAAGCACCGGCUAACUACGUG
This 465-nucleotide ribosomal RNA is filed under the name uncultured bacterium. Its description in RNAcentral is "partial 16S ribosomal RNA". It matches the Rfam family "Bacterial small subunit ribosomal RNA", at positions 28 to 507 of the family's 1533-position model. The record is from RNAcentral.